RNAcentral lists this transfer RNA (314 nucleotides) under uncultured cyanobacterium. Its description in RNAcentral is "partial 16S-23S ribosomal RNA intergenic spacer". The stretch from base 35 to 107 matches the Rfam family "tRNA". The record is from RNAcentral. Lineage: Bacteria; Bacillati; Cyanobacteriota.
UCUGGUUCGAGUCCAGGAUGGCCCAUUCGUGUUUGGGGGUUUAGCUCAGUUGGUAGAGCGCCUGCUUUGCAAGCAGGAUGUCAGCGGUUCGAGUCCGCUAACCUCCACUGACCAAACCACCCGAAAGCGAGAGCAACGGGAGAGAACUUGCAGGUGUGACGAUGAUAGACGAGUCGCCAUGAGCGGACUCUAGCUUCUUUUCAUACUGUACAACUGAUCAUUGAAUUGAUUGAUCAUUUGAGCAGCUGAAAGGACGCUGGGCUCCAGCAUCUCCAUUGGGGAUGCGGUGUUCGGCAGAACCUUGACAACUGCAA